AGAGUUUGAUCAUGGCUCAGAUUGAACGCUGGCGGCAGGCCUAACACAUGCAAGUCGAGCGGUAGCACAGAGAGCUUGCUCUCGGGUGACGAGCGGCGGACGGGUGAGUAAUGUCUGGGAAACUGCCUGAUGGAGGGGGAUAACUACUGGAAACGGUAGCUAAUACCGCAUAACGUCGCAAGACCAAAGUGGGGGACCUUCGGGCCUCAUGCCAUCAGAUGUGCCCAGAUGGGAUUAGCUAGUAGGUGGGGUAACGGCUCACCUAGGCGACGAUCCCUAGCUGGUCUGAGAGGAUGACCAGCCACACUGGAACUGAGACACGGUCCAGACUCCUACGGGAGGCAGCAGUGGGGAAUAUUGCACAAUGGGCGCAAGCCUGAUGCAGCCAUGCCGCGUGUGUGAAGAAGGCCUUCGGGUUGUAAAGCACUUUCAGCGGGGAGGAAGGCGGUGAGGUUAAUAACCUCAUCGAUUGACGUUACCCGCAGAAGAAGCACCGGCUAACUCCGUGCCAGCAGCCGCGGUAAUACGGAGGGUGCAAGCGUUAAUCGGAAUUACUGGGCGUAAAGCGCACGCAGGCGGUCUGUCAAGUCGGAUGUGAAAUCCCCGGGCUUAACCUGGGAACUGCAUUCGAAACUGGCAGGCUAGAGUCUUGUAGAGGGGGGGUAGAAUUCCAGGUGUAGCGGUGAAAUGCGUAGAGAUCUGGAGGAAUACCGGUGGCGAAGGCGGCCCCCUGGACAAAGACUGACGCUCAGGUGCGAAAGCGUGGGGAGCAAACAGGAUUAGAUACCCUGGUAGUCCACGCCGUAAACGAUGUCGAUUUGGAGGUUGUGCCCUUGAGGCGUGGCUUCCGGAGCUAACGCGUUAAAUCGACCGCCUGGGGAGUACGGCCGCAAGGUUAAAACUCAAAUGAAUUGACGGGGGCCCGCACAAGCGGUGGAGCAUGUGGUUUAAUUCGAUGCAACGCGAAGAACCUUACCUGGUCUUGACAUCCACAGAACUUUGCAGAGAUGGUUUGGUGCCUUCGGGAACUGUGAGACAGGUGCUGCAUGGCUGUCGUCAGCUCGUGUUGUGAAAUGUUGGGUUAAGUCCCGCAACGAGCGCAACCCUUAUCCUUUGUUGCCAGCGGUCCGGCCGGGAACUCAAAGGAGACUGCCAGUGAUAAACUGGAGGAAGGUGGGGAUGACGUCAAGUCAUCAUGGCCCUUACGACCAGGGCUACACACGUGCUACAAUGGCAUAUACAAAGAGAAGCGACCUCGCGAGAGCAAGCGGACCUCAUAAAGUAUGUCGUAGUCCGGAUUGGAGUCUGCAACUCGACUCCAUGAAGUCGGAAUCGCUAGUAAUCGUAGAUCAGAAUGCUACGGUGAAUACGUUCCCGGGCCUUGUACACACCGCCCGUCACACCAUGGGAGUGGGUUGCAAAAGAAGUAGGUAGCUUAACCUUCGGGAGGGCGCUUACCACUUUGUGAUUCAUGACUGGGGUGAAGUCGUAACAAGGUAACCGUAGGGGAACCUGCGGUUGGAUCACCU
This 1529-nucleotide ribosomal RNA is filed under the name Klebsiella pneumoniae. Its description in RNAcentral is "bacterial SSU rRNA". It matches the Rfam family "Bacterial small subunit ribosomal RNA". The record is from RNAcentral. Lineage: Bacteria; Pseudomonadati; Pseudomonadota; Gammaproteobacteria; Enterobacterales; Enterobacteriaceae.